GCGCCGACGAGUGGCGAACGGGUGAGUAAUGCAUCGGAACGUGCCCAGUAGUGGGGGAUAGCCCGGCGAAAGCCGGAUUAAUACCGCAUGAGACCUGAGGGUGAAAGCGGGGGAUCGCAAGACCUCGCGCUACUGGAGCGGCCGAUGUCAGAUUAGCUAGUUGGUGGGGUAAAGGCCUACCAAGGCAACGAUCUGUAGUUGGUCUGAGAGGACGACCAGCCACACUGGGACUGAGACGCGGCCCAGACUCCUACGGGAGGCAGCAGUGGGGAAUUUUGGACAAUGGGCGCAAGCCUGAUCCAGCAAUGCCGCGUGCAGGAAGAAGGCCUUCGGGUUGUAAACUGCUUUUGUCAGGGAAGAAAUCCUCUGGGUUAAUACCUCGGGGGGAUGACGGUACCUGAAGA
RNAcentral lists this ribosomal RNA (404 nucleotides) under uncultured bacterium. Its description in RNAcentral is "bacterial SSU rRNA". It matches the Rfam family "Bacterial small subunit ribosomal RNA", at positions 85 to 485 of the family's 1533-position model. The record is from RNAcentral.